This 804-nucleotide ribosomal RNA is filed under the name unidentified microorganism. Its description in RNAcentral is "bacterial SSU rRNA". It matches the Rfam family "Bacterial small subunit ribosomal RNA", at positions 657 to 1458 of the family's 1533-position model. The record is from RNAcentral.
GAGAUUGGAAUUCCUGGUGUAGCGGUGGAAUGCGCAGAUAUCAGGAGGAACACCGAUGGCGAAGGCAGAUCUCUGGGCCGUAACUGACGCUGAGGAGCGAAAGCAUGGGGAGCGAACAGGAUUAGAUACCCUGGUAGUCCAUGCCGUAAACGUUGGGCGCUAGAUGUAGGGACCUUUCCACGGUUUCUGUGUCGUAGCUAACGCAUUAAGCGCCCCGCCUGGGGAGUACGGCCGCAAGGCUAAAACUCAAAGGAAUUGACGGGGGCCCGCACAAGCGGCGGAGCAUGCGGAUUAAUUCGAUGCAACGCGAAGAACCUUACCAAGGCUUGACAUACACCGGAAACGGCCAGAGAUGGUCGCCCCCUUGUGGUCGGUGUACAGGUGGUGCAUGGUUGUCGUCAGCUCGUGUCGUGAGAUGUUGGGUUAAGUCCCGCAACGAGCGCAACCCUCGUUCUAUGUUGCCAGCGGGUUAUGCCGGGGACUCAUAGGAGACUGCCGGGGUCAACUCGGAGGAAGGUGGGGAUGACGUCAAAUCAUCAUGCCCCUUAUGUCUUGGGCUUCACGCAUGCUACAAUGGCCGGUACAAAGGGCUGCGAUACCGUAAGGUGGAGCGAAUCCCAAAAAGCCGGUCUCAGUUCGGAUUGAGGUCUGCAACUCGACCUCAUGAAGUCGGAGUCGCUAGUAAUCGCAGAUCAGCAACGCUGCGGUGAAUACGUUCCCGGGCCUUGUACACACCGCCCGUCAAGUCAUGAAAGUCGGUAACACCCGAAGCCGGUGGCCUAACCCUUGUGGAAGGAGCCGUCG